This 215-nucleotide unclassified non-coding RNA is filed under the name soil metagenome. RNAcentral's name for it is "partial contains 5.8S ribosomal RNA, internal transcribed spacer 2, and large subunit ribosomal RNA". The record is from RNAcentral.
AACCUAGCACACCUGCGGUGUGUACCUGCGGAGGGAUCAUUAACAAGCUGUGGGAGAUCGAUCAAUUUGAUCUCACACCUGGCCAACCUUGUUAACCUUAAAUAUAUUGCUUUGGUGAGCCCUGCUCACCAAAGUCAAACCCUAAACUCUUGAUUGUUUCUGCUGUCUGAGCAUGCAAGUGCAAAAUUUAGUUAAAAACUUUCAGCAAUGGAUCU